This is a long non-coding RNA of Pyrus x bretschneideri (Chinese white pear), 1249 nucleotides long. RefSeq lists it as uncharacterized. Lineage: Eukaryota; Viridiplantae; Streptophyta; Magnoliopsida; Rosales; Rosaceae. The record is from RefSeq and is a predicted model, not a curated record. The transcript has 2 exons.
UAACACGAUAAAACAACAGGUUUAAUCAUUUGAAGUACCUUCACGGUCUUAAUAGACGAAGGAGCGGAAGUACCAUACCUCAACUUGUUGUAGUUCUUGAUUUUCAGAAUCAAAAUUACUUAAUUCAUCGUACACAUAGUAGUUGGUUUUUAGGACCCGUAAAUUUUCAUCACAGUUAAAACAUGAUCCUUUUUGAUGUUUCAAUUGCACUUCAUCAUACGUGUGCCCAGUCGUACCCUUUGGACGACUGUCGAUUUGGACAAAAGAGAAGAGAUAAAAAAAAAUAUAAAAAAAAAACACCAGUAUUAUUUCUACCGUGAUGCCAAGGGGUUAGUACCUUUUGGAUGACUGGAUCGUGUUUUGUCUAGUUAGACCAACAUCUUUUCAUAGAUUUUUUUGUUGUGCCUUUAUGAGCACGUAAAUAAGCUCUCAAAAUAUCUAUCCUUGUAGAGUGACCUCCUUUCAUCCUCUAGCCUCUCUCCCAUCUCCAUCACACACUGCCUUGCUGCCUUGCCUGUAUAGGGAUUGUUCCAUCUCAACUUUGCUAAUUGGUCAAGAUGCUAAACUUGGAGUUCUUUCCCACACAAAUGCUAGCUUAGUUCAUCUGGUUCAUGCCAGGAAGGAAGGAGGUCAUCACUUGCAUGUGAAAUUUGUGCCUUAUGAGCAUCAUGAAGAUUGUUACCACUUCAAGAAGAUAAGAGGAAUAAGUUCGCUUGAAGAUUAAUGAAAAGUUGCACAUGGUUAGGUUAUUCCGAUUUGAUAACUUGUGAAAGUGUGUUCUUCUUGUAAGGGUGCUUUUUUGCCUUCAUUUGUGGCUAAAGCUUACUGGCAUGUACUUGAAUUUUUUACGAGACUUGAAUAUUGUUUGCGGGGUAUGCAUGGCGCGCAGCAGGGUUAGCGUUCUUGUGUCCGCAGUUUGGACUUGCUUCUCCAGUGAGAUGUAGGCAAAUUGGUGGAUAUUUUGCCUUACUGACAGCAUGGAUCAACGAGCAUUUUCAUAAUGUUAUUACUCUCCAUAUAAAUGUAAGGGUCAAACAUGUGUGCAUCGCUUGACCACGCGAAAAGGAUGCAGGGUUCUCACUUGAGCAAAAGACUUUGCGACUCACGAAUCAAUCUUAGCAAAAGAACAAUACUCAUUUUGUGGCAUCAAACCCGUGAAAUGGGGAGCCAAGCUACUAGGCAUGUUGAUGUUCUAAUAUGACAAACGUCAUGUAUUCGUUUGAUGAAUGACAUACAAGGUUGUCUAGGA